UCCUUCCCAGCCGCAUUUUCCAAUGCGCGUGGCAGGCCUAUCGGCUCUCGCCCCCGUCUUGCUUCGCUCCACCUCCGAAAUCCCAACCCUGGGAGGAAAAGGAUGGGAUAGAUUCCAGGGGGCAGCAAGGACAACAGCAGCGGCGACGAAGACCUGUUUCAAGAAGAACCGGGGUUACACCGGAGGCAACGGUGGCGCCAGAGAUAUGCGCCAUCACCGAAUGCUCCGUGACAACCACCGUCC
Molecule: long non-coding RNA, 243 nt
Filed under: Elaeis guineensis (African oil palm)
Lineage: Eukaryota; Viridiplantae; Streptophyta; Magnoliopsida; Arecales; Arecaceae
Description: long non-coding RNA (EGUI_LNC051996)
Source: RNAcentral